UCCAGCUUCAGAGAUGGGACCCUGUGGUUACACUGUGACCACCCAGAUAAUCCGGAAGAGCCUCCUCCUUUAAGACCAGCUGAUAAGCAACUUCAGUUCCACCUGCCGCCUUGCAUUUCCUUACGUGGUCUCGGGUGGAAGGAGGCUCUUCAGGAGAACUCGAGGAGCUGUAUUCUGCAUCUAGUGGAGGUGUAGACAGUGAGAGACAACCCAGACGGCUGACCCAGGCGACGGGCAGGGGCUGAUGUGCACAUGGAAAAAUCUAGAAGGAGGAUCCCAAGGCACUGUGCCCAGACUCGGAGUAGCUGCAGGGCCAGCGCCUGACUCUGCAGACGUGGGAAGGGUUUCCAGGAUCCCAUAGAAGAGCCUCCCCAUCCGCUUCCCACGGCCUGAACUUUCCAUAAUUCUUUAAAAAUAAGCAGGUCAUAUGGUUUCACUUAUUUGUGGAGCAUAACCAAUAGCAUGGAGGA
Long non-coding RNA from Neogale vison (American mink), 470 nucleotides. RefSeq lists it as uncharacterized. The transcript is spliced from 4 exons. The record is from RefSeq and is a predicted model, not a curated record. Lineage: Eukaryota; Metazoa; Chordata; Mammalia; Carnivora; Mustelidae.